Molecule: ribosomal RNA, 467 nt
Filed under: uncultured bacterium
Lineage: Bacteria
Description: partial 16S ribosomal RNA
Rfam family: Bacterial small subunit ribosomal RNA
Source: RNAcentral
ACGAACGCUGGCGGCGUGCUUAACACAUGCAAGUCGAACGGAAAGGCCCUGCUUUUGUGGGGUGCUCGAGUGGCGAACGGGUGAGUAACACGUGAGUAACCUGCCCUUGACUUUGGGAUAACUUCAGGAAACUGGGGCUAAUACCGGAUAGGAGCUCCUGCUGCAUGGUUGGGGUUGGAAAGUUUCGGCGGUUGGGGUUGGACUCGCGGCUUAUCAGCUUGUUGGUGGGGUAGUGGCUUACCAAGGCUUUGACGGGUAGCCGGCCUGAGAGGGUGACCGGCCACAUUGGGACUGAGAUACGGCCCAGACUCCUACGGGAGGCAGCAGUGGGGAAUAUUGCACAAUGGGCGGAAGCCUGAUGCAGCAACGCCGCGUGCGGGAUGACGGCCUUCGGGUUGUAAACCGCUUUCGCCUGUGACGAAGCGUGAGUGACGGUAAUGGGUAAAGAAGCACCGGCUAACUACGUG